Molecule: ribosomal RNA, 497 nt
Filed under: uncultured bacterium
Lineage: Bacteria
Description: partial 16S ribosomal RNA
Rfam family: Bacterial small subunit ribosomal RNA
Source: RNAcentral
GAUGAACGCUGGCGGCGUGCCUAAUACAUGCAAGUCGAGCGAACAGACGAGGAGCUUGCUCCUCUGACGUUAGCGGCGGACGGGUGAGUAACACGUGGAUAACCUACCUAUAAGACUGGGAUAAAUUCGGGAAACCGGAGCUAAUACCGGAUAAUAUAUUGAACCGCAUGGUUCAAUAGUGAAAGACGGUUUUGCUGUCACUUAUAGAUGGAUCCGCGCCGCAUUAGCUAGUUGGUAAGGUAACGGCUUACCAAGGCAACGAUGCGUAGCCGACCUGAGAGGGUGAUCGGCCACACUGGAACUGAGACACGGUCCAGACUCCUACGGGAGGCAGCAGUAGGGAAUCUUCCGCAAUGGGCGAAAGCCUGACGGAGCAACGCCGCGUGAGUGAUGAAGGUCUUCGGGUCGUAAAACUCUGUUAUUAGGGAAGAACAAAUGUGUAAGUAACUAUGCACGUCUUGACGGUACCUAAUCAGAAAGCCACGGCUAACUACGUG